Molecule: small nuclear RNA, 137 nt
Gene: U1
Rfam family: U1 spliceosomal RNA
About the family: U1 is a small nuclear RNA (snRNA) component of the spliceosome (involved in pre-mRNA splicing). Its 5' end forms complementary base pairs with the 5' splice junction, thus defining the 5' donor site of an intron.
Source: Ensembl
AGACCAGGGGGUGAUACCGGGAUCAAGAAGGUGGUUCACCCAGGGCGAGGCUUAGCUGUUCUGACCCCUGCGAAUUCCCAAAAUGUGGUAAUCUCAACUGCAUAAUUUCCUUUUGAUUUACAGGGCCGCUUCCUUUA